GGGUUGUGAGGUUAAGCGACUAAGCGUACACGGUGGAUGCCCUGGCAGUCAGAGGCGAUGAAGGACGUGCUAAUCUGCGAAAAGCGCCGGCGAGGUGAUAUGAACCUUUGACCCGGCGAUGUCCGAAUGGGGAAACCCAGUGCAAUCCGUUGCACUAUCGUUAACUGAAUACAUAGGUUAACGAGGCGAACCGGGGGAACUGAAACAUCUAAGUACCCCGAGGAAAAGAAAUCAACCGAGAUUCCCCCAGUAGCGGCGAGCGAACGGGGAGCAGCCCGGAGUCUGAAUCAGCUUGUGUGUUAGUGGAACGGUCUGGAAAGUCCGACGGUACAGGGUGAUAGUCCCGUACACGAAAGCACACAUGCUGUGAACUCGAAGAGUAGGGCGGGACACGUGGUAUCCUGUCUGAAUAUGGGGGGACCAUCCUCCAAGGCUAAAUACUCCUGACUGACCGAUAGUGAACCAGUACCGUGAGGGAAAGGCGAAAAGAACCCCGGCGAGGGGAGUGAAAAAGAACCUGAAACCGUGUACGUACAAGCAGUGGGAGCCUCUUUAUGGGGUGACUGCGUACCUUUUGUAUAAUGGGUCAGCGACUUAUAUUCUGUAGCAAGGUUAACCGUAUAGGGGAGCCGAAGGGAAACCGAGUCUUAACUGGGCGUUAAGUUGCAGGGUAUAGACCCGAAACCCGGUGAUCUAGCCAUGGGCAGGUUGAAGGUUGGGUAACACUAACUGGAGGACCGAACCGACUAAUGUUGAAAAAUUAGCGGAUGACCUGUGGCUGGGGGUGAAAGGCCAAUCAAACCGGGAGAUAGCUGGUUCUCCCCGAAAGCUAUUUAGGUAGCGCCUCGUGAAUUCAUCUUCGGGGGUAGAGCACUGUUUCGGCUAGGGGGCCAUCCCGGCUUACCAACCCGAUGCAAACUACGAAUACCGAAGAAUGUUAUCACGGGAGACACACGGCGGGUGCUAACGUCCGUCGUGAAGAGGGAAACAACCCAGACCGCCAGCUAAGGUCCCAAAGUCAUGGUUAAGUGGGAAACGAUGUGGGAAGGCACAGACAGCCAGGAUGUUGGCUUAGAAGCAGCCAUCAUUUAAAGAAAGCGUAAUAGCUCACUGGUCGAGUCGGCCUGCGCGGAAGAUGUAACGGGGCUAAACCAUGCACCGAAGCUGCGGCAGCGACACUUAUGUGUUGUUGGGUAGGGGAGCGUUCUGUAAGCCGUUGAAGGUGUGCUGUGAGGCAUGCUGGAGGUAUCAGAAGUGCGAAUGCUGACAUAAGUAACGAUAAAGCGGGUGAAAAGCCCGCUCGCCGGAAGACCAAGGGUUCCUGUCCAACGUUAAUCGGGGCAGGGUGAGUCGACCCCUAAGGCGAGGCCGAAAGGCGUAGUCGAUGGGAAACAGGUUAAUAUUCCUGUACUUGGUGUUACUGCGAAGGGGGGACGGAGAAGGCUAUGUCAGCCGGGCGACGGUUGUCCCGGUUUAAGCAUGUAGGCGGAGGUUCCAGGUAAAUCCGGUACCUUGUUAACGCUGAGGUGUGAUGACGAGGCACUACGGUGCUGAAGUGAUAAAUGCCCUGCUUCCAGGAAAAGCCUCUAAGCAUCAGGUAACACGAAAUCGUACCCCAAACCGACACAGGUGGUCAGGUAGAGAAUACCAAGGCGCUUGAGAGAACUCGGGUGAAGGAACUAGGCAAAAUGGUGCCGUAACUUCGGGAGAAGGCACGCUGAUAUGUAGGUGAAGCCCCUGCGGGCGGAGCUGAAAUCAGUCGAAGAUACCAGCUGGCUGCAACUGUUUAUUAAAAACACAGCACUGUGCAAACACGAAAGUGGACGUAUACGGUGUGACGCCUGCCCGGUGCCGGAAGGUUAAUUGAUGGGGUUAGCGGCAACGCGAAGCUCUUGAUCGAAGCCCCGGUAAACGGCGGCCGUAACUAUAACGGUCCUAAGGUAGCGAAAUUCCUUGUCGGGUAAGUUCCGACCUGCACGAAUGGCGUAAUGAUGGCCAGGCUGUCUCCACCCGAGACUCAGUGAAAUUGAACUCGCUGUGAAGAUGCAGUGUACCCGCGGCAAGACGGAAAGACCCCGUGAACCUUUACUAUAGCUUGACACUGAACACUGGUCCUUGAUGUGUAGGAUAGGUGGGAGGCUUUGAAGCGUGGACGCCAGUCUGCGUGGAGCCAACCUUGAAAUACCACCCUUUAAUGGCUGGUGUUCUAACGUAGACCCGUAAUCCGGGUUGCGGACAGUGUCUGGUGGGUAGUUUGACUGGGGCGGUCUCCUCCCAAAGAGUAACGGAGGAGCACGAAGGUUGGCUAAUCCUGGUCGGACAUCAGGAGGUUAGUGCAAUGGCAUAAGCCAGCUUGACUGCGAGCGUGACGGCGCGAGCAGGUGCGAAAGCAGGUCAUAGUGAUCCGGUGGUUCUGAAUGGAAGGGCCAUCGCUCAACGGAUAAAAGGUACUCCGGGGAUAACAGGCUGAUACCGCCCAAGAGUUCAUAUCGACGGCGGUGUUUGGCACCUCGAUGUCGGCUCAUCACAUCCUGGGGCUGAAGUAGGUCCCAAGGGUAUGGCUGUUCGCCAUUUAAAGUGGUACGCGAGCUGGGUUUAGAACGUCGUGAGACAGUUCGGUCCCUAUCUGCCGUGGGCGCUGGAGAAUUGAGGGGGGCUGCUCCUAGUACGAGAGGACCGGAGUGGACGCAUCACUGGUGUUCGGGUUGUCAUGCCAAUGGCACUGCCCGGUAGCUAAAUGCGGAAGAGAUAAGUGCUGAAAGCAUCUAAGCACGAAACUUGCCCCGAGAUGAGUUCUCCCUGAGACUUUAAGUCUCCUGAAGGAACGUUGAAGACGACGACGUUGAUAGGUCGGGUGUGUAAGCGCAGCGAUGCGUUGAGCUAACCGAUACUAAUGAACCGUGAGGCUUAACCUUACAACGCCGAAGCUGUU
Molecule: ribosomal RNA, 2932 nt
Filed under: Enterobacter cloacae
Lineage: Bacteria; Pseudomonadati; Pseudomonadota; Gammaproteobacteria; Enterobacterales; Enterobacteriaceae
Description: bacterial LSU rRNA
Rfam family: Bacterial large subunit ribosomal RNA
Source: RNAcentral